RNAcentral lists this long non-coding RNA (805 nucleotides) under Homo sapiens (human). RNAcentral's name for it is "novel transcript". Lineage: Eukaryota; Metazoa; Chordata; Mammalia; Primates; Hominidae. The record is from RNAcentral.
CCUAGGUGAUACUAUCAGGCUUUGGACUGGGGGAGGUGGUCAAUGAUAUAAAAGAAGCUGCCCUCCCUGCCUUCAAGUUACUUAUAACAGAGUCAUAAACAGAGGCAAGGCUGUCACACUGAUUUUUGUCAACUUUUAUAAAAUGCCUUAAUAAAUUCUAAGCACGAUAAUAAUUGCUUUAAAUGGAUUAUGUCAUUUAAUCUUUGCAAUAAUUCUACAAAGCAGAAACUUUUAUUAUCCUCAUUUUACAGAUAAGGAAGCUGAGGUUUAGAAAGAAGGCAACUUCCCAAAUAUCAUGCAGCUGGUAAAUGAUCAAGCCAGGACCUGAUCUGAGUCAAUUUGAUUCUGGUUUCUAUGCUCUUAAUCCCAAUUUUAUACUAUAACACCCCACUUUCAAUACUAGACAGAUCAACGAGGCAGAAGGUUAACAAGGAUAUCCAGCUAGCUUUUGAUAAGCUAUAAACUAGUUCCUAUAAUUAAAUGUGGUGGAGGACAGGAAGAGGGAGUGACCAAGUUAAAAAAGAAGAGUUCAGUGAAGGCUGGAGUGACCAGGGAUGGGCUCAUGAGGAGAUGAGGUUUAAAAUGAGUCAUAGAGCAGUAAGCUUGUAAUAUAACUUAAAUACCAUCUAAUUUGUUCACUGACCUUUACAGAUAUGGAAACUGAGCCCUCACACAUGGACUGAAUUCUGACAAGCAGAGGAUAAAGGCAGAACAACAUGACUGAAGGCGAUGAGGAACAGCUGAUCACCUGUGGAAGUCAUUUGUCCUAAAUUGUCAUGGACAGACCAUGUGCCUUACAGCAAGA